AGUGAACGCUGGCGGUAGGCCUAACACAUGCAAGUCGAACGGCAGCACAGAGGAGCUUGCUCCUUGGGUGGCGAGUGGCGGACGGGUGAGGAAUACAUCGGAAUCUACUUUUUCGUGGGGGAUAACGUAGGGAAACUUACGCUAAUACCGCAUACGACCUCCGGGUGAAAGCAGGGGACCUUCGGGCCUUGCGCGAUUGAAUGAGCCGAUGUCGGAUUAGCUAGUUGGCGGGGUAAAAGCCCACCAAGGCGACGAUCCGUAGCUGGUCUGAGAGGAUGAUCAGCCACACUGGAACUGAGACACGGUCCAGACUACUACGGGAGGCAGCAGUGGGGAAUUUUGCACAAUGGGCGAAAGCCUGAUGCAGCGACGCCGCGUGGGUGAUGAAGGUCUUCGGAUUGUAAAGCCCUGUCGGGGGGGAUGAAACCUUCCAUGGCUAAUAUCCAUGGAACGUGACCGUACCCCCAAAGGAAGCACCGGCUAACUCCGUGCCAGCCGCCGCAGUAA
Molecule: ribosomal RNA, 507 nt
Filed under: uncultured bacterium
Lineage: Bacteria
Description: partial 16S ribosomal RNA
Rfam family: Bacterial small subunit ribosomal RNA
Source: RNAcentral